Molecule: transfer RNA, 71 nt
Organism: Strongyloides ratti
Lineage: Eukaryota; Metazoa; Nematoda; Chromadorea; Rhabditida; Strongyloididae
Rfam family: tRNA
About the family: Transfer RNA (tRNA) molecules are approximately 80 nucleotides in length. Their secondary structure includes four short double-helical elements and three loops (D, anti-codon, and T loops). Further hydrogen bonds mediate the characteristic L-shaped molecular structure. tRNAs have two regions of fundamental functional importance: the anti-codon, which is responsible for specific mRNA codon recognition, and the 3' end, to which the tRNAs corresponding amino acid is attached (by aminoacyl-tRNA synthetases). tRNAs cope with the degeneracy of the genetic code in two manners: having more than one tRNA (with a specific anti-codon) for a particular amino acid; and 'wobble' base-pairing, i.e. permitting non-standard base-pairing at the 3rd anti-codon position.
Source: Rfam
GCGUUGAUGGUUAAGUGGUAUAAUUCUCGCCUGCCACGCGGGAGUCCCGGGUUCGAUUCCCGGUCAACGCA